Molecule: long non-coding RNA, 893 nt
Organism: Malaclemys terrapin pileata
Lineage: Eukaryota; Metazoa; Chordata; Testudines; Emydidae
Exons: 4
Source: RefSeq, a predicted model, not a curated record
GCAUGACGUCAGUUAUUGCUUGGGCCAAAGCAAAUCUUUCCUCUGUAUCCAGAGCAUGCUGGUAAGCCUCAAAGUAACCAUCUAGAAGCUGAAGGGAUAUUCAAAAUUUUCAGAGUUUCCACAUCGGGUGGGGAUGUACCUGACGUUUAUUCUCUAAGAGAGCAGCUUCACAAGUCCAAAUGUCAAGCAGCACCGCAAAUCGAUCCACAGAUGCAUGCGCCCACGCUAAGAGGUUGUCAUCCCUGGAUUGAUGAAAUGAAAAAUGCCUUAUUAUCGGUGGAUGCCUUAUUAUCGGGGAGGUCUUAUUAUCGGGGGGAUGCCUUAUAUUACAACGAGAGACAAAACUUACCCUCCAAUGAGAGAAUGCUGUUCCAAGCCAACUCCUGGGACUGAAGGAGGAGGGAUGCAGCCCAGAGGAAUUUUUAGUUUCACUCAAUAUAUUUCUUGAAUGCCCUUGCAUCCUGAAACUGAGUGUCAUGCUUCUGAUGCCUCCAGUCCCAACCAGCCUGAGGUUGGAAUGUGUAAUGGUAGCCUUAAAUCUGGGUUUCCUGCCCAGCAGUGUGGUGUACUAACUGUACACUGAAUGCCCAGCUCACAGAUUACAGUCUUAUCAAAAUGAUAUAGUCAUAAUACACAUGAGCUUGUCUAACUGGACUCACAUGACGGGUGAGAACUAUAAAAUUUGGCACCACCAGCUUGAAGUUACAGCAUAAUCAGUUAAUAAGGCAGAGCAGGCUUGAGGCUCUGUAGAUUAGUCUGCCAGGAAUGCAGUUAUAUUAUUGUUAUAAACUUCCUAAGAGACAGCCUUUGCAGUGUGUUAACGAAUCAUAUUAGAAACUGUUGUUAGGGAAACACUGGAGGAUGUGCUACCAAUUGCAUUGCCAGUUGAACUG